Molecule: ribosomal RNA, 460 nt
Filed under: uncultured bacterium
Lineage: Bacteria
Description: partial 16S ribosomal RNA
Rfam family: Bacterial small subunit ribosomal RNA
Source: RNAcentral
CCUACGUGUGACAGCAGUGAGGAAUAUUGGUCAAUGGGCGCGAGCCUGAACCAGCCAAGUAGCGUGAAGGAUGACUGCCCUACGGGUUGUAAACUUCUUUUAUAAAGGAAUAAAGUGAGGCACGUGUGCCUUUUUGUAUGUACUUUAUGAAUAAGGAUCGGCUAACUCCGUGCCAGCAGCCGCGGUAAUACGGAGGAUCCGAUCGUUAUCCGGAUUUAUUGGGUUUAAAGGGAGCGUAGAUGGGUUGUUAAGUCAGUUGUGAAAGUUUGGGGCUCAACCGUAAAAUUGCAAUUGAUACUGGCAGUCUUGAGUACAGUUGAGGUAGGCGGAAUUCGUGGUGUAGCGGUGAAAUGCUUAGAUAUCACGAAGAACUCCGAUUGCGAAGGCAGCUUACUAAACUGCCACUGACAUUGAUGCUCGAAAGUGUGGGUAUCAAACAGGAUUAGAUACCCCAGUAGUC